UGCCUGCUGUUCAGGGUGUGAGAACAGUUGUUUAAUGUAUUUUGUUCAACUUUCUAAUUCCCAAUUGUAGGUGAGGAAGUCUAGACACUGUUCCUCUUAUUGUUGCAGGAAGGGAACCCUUUCCAGGGCCCUAGAGUGGGCUCACAAUGCUGACAAAGCCAGAGACUUGAUUGGGAAGAGGUAACCAGGAGGAUAGCAGCAGGAUGUGGGAAGAAGCAACAAGAGGGAAUAUUCUCCUGGGCCAAGAGUCUAGUGAGACAGGUAUGGUCCAGAGACUUGCUACUUGCAAGGUCUGGUCUAGUAACAGCACAGAGUGGCCUGUCAAUGGAAUCUUCAUUAGACCUGGCACACAAAGGCCAUGAAAUGCCCCCAAAGCAUGGUCAAAUAUGUGGCUGUGAAGAGACCAUGUUGACUGGAAGUUGGCACUUACCUGCUGUCUCUACAAAGAUUUCAUCAUGACCACUGCAAGCUGCUGACCUUCAACCCCCCUUGAAAGGAGUUCAGGAUGGAGAUAAGAAAUAAGGCACUCUGUGCUCUGGGAAAAACCCAGAAGAACUGACCUUCGGAGAGUCAGAUGCUUUCAGAAUACAACAAAUCUCCAAGUGAUAGUUUGACAAGAAUAUUCCUGGCCAACACCCAGACAAUGCUGAAACAAGCCGCCUUAUCAUUCCAUGGACUCUCAUCUCCCUCCAUAAAGGCACAACACCCCUGUACAGCCUGAAGAAGUCAGAGUGGUCAUCGCCCCUUUUCCCCUGAGACUGGCUUCCCAAAUGCCUGAGAAGGGAAAUAGUUAGAUAGUUAGACGUGAGCAGGGUAUC
Molecule: long non-coding RNA, 818 nt
Organism: Cervus elaphus (red deer)
Lineage: Eukaryota; Metazoa; Chordata; Mammalia; Artiodactyla; Cervidae
Exons: 3
Source: RefSeq, a predicted model, not a curated record